RNAcentral lists this long non-coding RNA (511 nucleotides) under Carica papaya (papaya). RNAcentral describes it as "long non-coding RNA (CPAP_LNC008177)". The record is from RNAcentral. Lineage: Eukaryota; Viridiplantae; Streptophyta; Magnoliopsida; Brassicales; Caricaceae.
CUCCGUACUAUACCUGACCGAAGAACAAAAAGUCCCUAUUGCAGCCUUUAUGUUAAACGAUGAAGCUAAACACUAGUGGCGACUUAAGAAAGAAAUCAAGCCUACCCCUACGACCUGGAAAGUUUUUAUGGAUGCUUUCUUUGAUAACUUUUUCUCUGCUUAUGUUCGAGAAAAGAAAUAGGAGGAAUUCCAGGACCUCCACCAAGGAAGCUUGUCUGUAGCCCAAUAUACAGCAUGAUUUGUUCAACCGUCUAGGUUUACCUCUUUAAUGAUCACCCCCGAAAACCAAAAAGCCAGGAAGUUUCUCAAGGGCCUUCGGCUGACAUUUAUGACUGAGUCACGAUGCUGAGACCCAACUCAUAUGCAGAUGUGCUUGAACAUGCCUAGUUAGCCGAAAUCUUAUCUCGGCUAAGCACCAACGCUUUGCUCGGGUUUGAGCCCAACAAUGGCUCCAAUAGCUUAUAAAGAGAUUGUCUAACCUAGUAAGUAACCCCCUAGACAAACGAACAAG